GCCCGGCUGGCUCAGUCGGCAGAGCACGUGACACUCGAUCUUGAGGUUGUGAGUUCAAACCCCAUGUUGGGUG
This 73-nucleotide transfer RNA is filed under the name Felis catus (domestic cat). It matches the Rfam family "tRNA". Rfam says of the family: Transfer RNA (tRNA) molecules are approximately 80 nucleotides in length. Their secondary structure includes four short double-helical elements and three loops (D, anti-codon, and T loops). Lineage: Eukaryota; Metazoa; Chordata; Mammalia; Carnivora; Felidae. The record is from Rfam by way of RNAcentral.